RNAcentral lists this ribosomal RNA (382 nucleotides) under uncultured bacterium. RNAcentral describes it as "partial 16S ribosomal RNA". It matches the Rfam family "Bacterial small subunit ribosomal RNA", at positions 355 to 729 of the family's 1533-position model. The record is from RNAcentral.
UGGGGAAUUUUGGACAAUGGGCGAAAGCCUGAUCCAGCAAUGCCGCGUGUGUGAAGAAGGCCUUCGGGUUGUAAAGCACUUUUGUCCGGAAAGAAAUCCUUGGCUCUAAUACAGUCGGGGGAUACGGUACCGGAAGAAUAAGCACCGGCUAACUACGUGCCAGCAGCCGCGGUAAUACGUAGGGUGCAAGCGUUAAUCGGAAUUACUGGGCGUAAAGCGUGCGCAGGCGGUUUGCUAAGACCGAUGUGAAAUCCCCGGGCUCAACCUGGGAACUGCAUUGGUGACUGGCAGGCUAGAGUAUGGCAGAGGGGGGUGAGAAUUCCACGUGUAGCAGUGAAAUGCGUAGAGAUGUGGAGGAAUACCGAUGGCGAAGGCAGCCCCC